GAGGCAUUAGCUCAGCUGGUAGAGCACCUGACUUUUAAUCAGGGUGUCGUAGGUUCGAAUCCUACAUGCCUCACCA
This 76-nucleotide transfer RNA is filed under the name Paenibacillus eucommiae. Its description in RNAcentral is "tRNA-Lys". It matches the Rfam family "tRNA". Rfam says of the family: Transfer RNA (tRNA) molecules are approximately 80 nucleotides in length. Their secondary structure includes four short double-helical elements and three loops (D, anti-codon, and T loops). Lineage: Bacteria; Bacillati; Bacillota; Bacilli; Caryophanales; Paenibacillaceae. The record is from RNAcentral. RNAcentral also lists the same sequence under 1 other name.